UGGGGAAUCUUGCACAAUGGGGGCAACCCUGAUGCAGCGACGCCGCGUGAGCGAUGAAGCCCUUCGGGGCGUAAAGCUCUUUCGGCCGGAACGAUAAUGACGGUACCGGGAGAAGAAGCUGCGGCUAACUACGUGCCAGCAGCCGCGGUAAUACGUAGGCAGCAAGCGUUGUUCGGAGUUACUGGGCGUAAAGAGUGCGUAGGCGGUUUUCUAAGUUCGGUGUGAAAUCUCCCGGCUUAACUGGGAGGGUGCGCCGAAGACUGGGAAGCUGGAGUGUGGGAAAGGCAGGCGGAAUUCCUGGUGUAGCGGUGAAAUGCGUAGAUAUCAGGAGGAACACCGGCGGUGUAGACGGCUUGCUAAACCAUAACUGACGCUGAGGCACGAAAGCGUGGGUAGCAAACA
This 402-nucleotide ribosomal RNA is filed under the name uncultured bacterium. RNAcentral's name for it is "bacterial SSU rRNA". It matches the Rfam family "Bacterial small subunit ribosomal RNA", at positions 355 to 774 of the family's 1533-position model. The record is from RNAcentral.